This 80-nucleotide transfer RNA is filed under the name Corynebacterium occultum. Its description in RNAcentral is "Corynebacterium sp. 2039 tRNA-Pro". The record is from RNAcentral. Lineage: Bacteria; Bacillati; Actinomycetota; Actinomycetes; Mycobacteriales; Corynebacteriaceae.
AGCGCCUCCUCGCUGAGGGCGUAGCUGCUGAUCUGGGGGAUCAGCUGUGGAAUGCGGUGGCUGAGGCUGCCGUGGCACUG